This 2039-nucleotide ribosomal RNA is filed under the name Moramonas marocensis. Its description in RNAcentral is "SSU rRNA". It matches the Rfam family "Bacterial small subunit ribosomal RNA". Lineage: Eukaryota; Jakobea; Jakobida; Moramonadidae. The record is from RNAcentral.
UAACAAAAGAGUUUGAUCCUGGCUCAGAAUGAAGGCUAGCGAUACGCUUCACACAUGCAAGUCAAACGGAAUGAUAUGGAUGGUUGAAAUACACCAUCUAUUUAUCAUUCAGUGGCGAACGGGUGCGUAAUACAUGAGGACCUACCUAACAAUUCGGAAUAAACAUAUGCUUUAACGCUUUAUUGAAAUAUCAUCCGAUUUUUCAAGCAAUCACAAAAGCAGAACUUAUUUGUCUAUUUGAUUGUUUCGAUAAGCUAAAUAAAAUCUAUGGAUUUUUUGCAGAUAAGUUGUAAAUACCGAAUAAAUUUGAUAGUGAAAAUCUUCAAAUGAAAGAUUUAUCGUUGUUAGAUGGACUCGUGCAGGAAUACGGUAGUUGGCAGGGUAAUAGCCUACCAAGCCUAUGAUCCUUAACCGGUCUGAGAGGACGAUCGGUCACACUGGUACUGAGACACGGGCCAGACUCCUACGGGAGGCAGCAGUGGGGAAUCUUGGACAAUGAGCGAAAGCUUGAUCCAGCGAUAUCGCGUGAGUGAUGAAGGCUCUUUUGGUUGUAAAACUCUUUCGUCGAGGAUGAUUAUGACAGUACUCGAAGAAGAAGCACCGGCUAACUCCGUGCCAGCAGCCGCGGUAAUACGGGGGGUGCUAGUCUUAUUCGUAAUUAUUGGGCGUAAAGGGCAUGUAGGUCGUUGAUUAAGUUGAUUGUUAAAGCCCUAGGCUUAACCUAGGAAGGUCUAUCAAUACUAAUCAACUCGAGUUUGAUAGGGGAUAGUAGUAUUUCUAGUGUAAGGAUAAAAUCUAUAAAUAUUAGAAGGAAUACCUGAAGCGAAGGCGACUAUCUGGGUCAAUACUGACACUGAGAUGCGAAAGCGUGGGGAGCAAACAGGAUUAGAUACCCUGGUAGUCCAUGCUGUAAACGAUGAGUGUUAAAUUCAUGUAUUCAUUUAUAUGAGUUAUAGCUAACGCGUCAAACACUCCGCCUGGGAAGUAUCGUCGCAAGAUUGAAACUCAAAGGAAUUGACGGGGACCCGUACAAGCGGUGGAGCAUGUGGUUUAAUUCGAAACAACGCGCAGAACCUUACCAGCUCUUGACAUUCUUUUGAGGGUUAGGAAACUAACCCCCAAUUCACAGACAAAAAUUACAUUGAAAUUGCCCUUGGCAUCAUCUUCAUUACCUUAGAAACAAAGACUAUUUGUCUCAUCAUAUCAUGAUGACAUAUCUAGAACCAUUCGAAGUCCUAAUGGUUAUUGAAGAAACAAUGUUAGUGUUGGUGUCAAUAGAAAGAUUCUAAAAUUGAGAUCAUUGAUAUUUAUCGAGGUACAAAGAUAAAGAUAAAGAUUAUUCGAUCAUAUUAAUCAUAUAAUCGAAUGAUUACGAGUAACUUUCAAUCUUUUAUUUUAGAAAUUUCGAAUUAAAUUUCAUUCUCUUUUUAUUUUCAUUUUCUACCUAUACAGGUGUUGCAUGGCUGUCGUCAGCUCGUGUCGUGAGAUCUUGGGUUAAGUCCUAUAACGAGCGCAACCCCUAUCGUUUAUUUCGAUUUUACAAAUCGUUUAACGAAACUGCCUGUGAGAAGCAGGAGGAAGGUGGGGAUGACGUCAAGUCCUCAUGACCCUUAUGGGCUGGGCUACACACGUGCUACAAUGGUGAUUCUAAAAUGAAUUUUUUUUGAAAUUCUAUAUACAAUGGGAAGCAAUGACGUGAGUCGGAGCAAAUCCUUUAAAAAUCACCUCAGUUCAGAUUGUUCUCUGCAACUCGAGAACAUGAAGUCGGAAUCGCUAGUAAUCGCGGAUCAGCACGCCGCGGUGAAUACGUUCCCGGGUCUUGUACACACCGCCCGUCACACCCUGGGAGUCGCCUUUCCCCCAAGUUCUAAUUAGUAACCAAGUUUUUAAUAUUCAGAAGAAAUUCUGUGGUUCUCUUUUAUAUUUUUGAACACUCUUUCUUCUGUCUUGGAGCUAAGAGAAUCAAGGUAAAGGUGGCGACUAUGGUGAAGUCGUAACAAGGUAGCCGUAGGGGAACCUGUGGCUGGAUGAACUCCUUU